Molecule: ribosomal RNA, 248 nt
Filed under: Citrobacter cronae
Lineage: Bacteria; Pseudomonadati; Pseudomonadota; Gammaproteobacteria; Enterobacterales; Enterobacteriaceae
Description: partial 23S ribosomal RNA
Rfam family: Bacterial large subunit ribosomal RNA
Source: RNAcentral
GAGUGGACGCAUCACUGGUGUUCGGGUUGUCAUGCCAAUGGCACUGCCCGGUAGCUAAAUGCGGAAGAGAUAAGUGCUGAAAGCAUCUAAGCACGAAACUUGCCCCGAGAUGAGUUCUCCCUGAGACCUAGAGUCUCCUGAAGGAACGUUGAAGACGACGACGUUGAUAGGUCGGGUGUGUAAGUGUAGCGAUACAUUGAGCUAACCGAUACUAAUGAACCGUGAGGCUUAACCUUACAACGCCGAAG